UUUAAGGAUUUUCUCAAAUCCACACAUAUAUUAAACUGGUUAAUAU
Oreochromis niloticus (Nile tilapia) is the source of this 46-nucleotide non-coding RNA. The record is from Rfam. Lineage: Eukaryota; Metazoa; Chordata; Actinopteri; Cichliformes; Cichlidae.